UCGGUUGAUCCUGCCGGACCUGACUGCUAUCGGAUUGAUACUAAGCCAUGCGAGUCAUUGUAGCAAUACAAGGCAGACGGCUCAGUAACGCGUAGUCAACCUAACCUAUGGACGGGAAUAACCUCGGGAAACUGAGAAUAAUGCCCGAUAGAACACUAUGCCUGGAAUGGUUUGUGUUCCAAAUGAUUUAUCGCCGUAGGAUGGGACUGCGGCCUAUCAGUUUGUUGGUGAGGUAAUGGCCCACCAAGACUAUUACAGGUACGGGCUCUGAGAGGAGUAGCCCGGAGAUGGGUACUGAGACACGGACCCAGGCCCUAUGGGGCGCAGCAGGCGAGAAAACUUUGCAAUGUGCGAAAGCACGACAAGGUUAAUCCGAGUGGUUUCUGCUAAAGGAACCUUUUGUCGGUCCUAGAAACACCGAUGAAUAAGGGGUGGGCAAGUUCUGGUGUCAGCCGCCGCGGUAAAACCAGCACCUCAAGUGGUCAGGAUGAUUAUUGGGCCUAAAGCAUCCGUAGCCGGCGCUAUAAGUUUUCGGUUAAAUCUGUACGCUCAACGUACAGGCUGCCGGGAAUACUGUAGCGCUAGGGAGUGGGAGAGGUAGACGGUACUCGGUAGGAAGGGGUAAAAUCCUUUGAUCUAUUGAUGACCCCUGUGGCGAANGCGGUCUACCAGAACACGUCCGACGGUGAGGGAUGAAAGCUGGGGGAGCAACCGGAUUAGAUACCCGGGUAGUCCCAGCUGUAAACUAUGCAAACUCAGUGAUGCAUUGGCUUGUGGCCNAUGCAGUGCUGCAGGGANNCCNUUAAGUUUGCCGCCNGGGAAGUANC
RNAcentral lists this ribosomal RNA (827 nucleotides) under uncultured archaeon. Its description in RNAcentral is "bacterial SSU rRNA". It matches the Rfam family "Archaeal small subunit ribosomal RNA", at positions 4 to 839 of the family's 1478-position model. The record is from RNAcentral.